AUCAUUUUGUAGUUCAUGAGCAUGAUGACUAAGUGUUCAUGUGCAUGUGUGAGAUGUGCCACCCUCAAACCUUGUUAUAACAUCAGCACAUUACCCAUACAACA
Molecule: small nucleolar RNA, 104 nt
Organism: Macaca fascicularis (crab-eating macaque)
Lineage: Eukaryota; Metazoa; Chordata; Mammalia; Primates; Cercopithecidae
Source: Ensembl